Molecule: unclassified non-coding RNA, 180 nt
Filed under: uncultured Agaricales
Lineage: Eukaryota; Fungi; Basidiomycota; Agaricomycetes; Agaricales
Description: sequence contains ITS1
Source: RNAcentral
UUGAUUGAUAAAGGGAUGUGCUGGCAAAAAUUCCAUUUUUGCAAUGUGCACUCCUGAAAUCUUCAUCCACUUUGUGCACUUUGUAGACAAAGUUGCUUUUUGUGACUUUUGUCUAUGCCUUUUAAUACACAUUCAUCAGUUAUUAAAUAAUUUCUGACUAGCUAAAGUCAAAUUUUGAUA